UGUGUCAUGAAGGUCCUGUGAUGUCACAAGGAAAGCCGCCCAUGCAACUGCUGUCCCCGCCCACUCUGGGAGAGGGGCGGGGCUGGCUUUCACUUUCUAAACUUUAAAACUUUAUCACCUUAAUUGAGGUGACAGAGCCCUCAAGGGGACAGAGCCCAUGCUCAUAACCAGAAGGAGCCCUGGCAUUCCCUGGACGUGAAGCACUAUUUGUCCAUUCAGCAAGAAUUACUCAACCCCUAUCUGCCAACCCAGAGGCCCAGUGAUGAACAGGACCAAUCCAGUUCUUGCCCCCAUGAGGCCUUCAUUUUGAUGGAACAAUCAGGCUCAAGAACCUCUUAAGGAGUUGCUAAGAGGUUCCUGAAUGAGUGGGCCCAAUUAACUGCAGUCAAGUCUGCUGUGCUGAGGCCUGGCAAAUCAGGGCCUUUUAAGAAUUUGGUGAGAAACUUUUGGUAAAAAGAAUGAAGAUGUCCCUCUGGCAUGUAGACUGUUAGAACUUUUGAACCCAGAAGCUUGGAAAGGGAUCGGUUUGGGCUGCAGUGCCAUUUCCUGUGAACUACAGCAGCAAAUGAGUUGGAGCUAGAGGAGAUCAGUAAAACCUAUUCAUCUCCACCUACUCAUUUUUGUAAAACAUAAAUUUUGAACGUGACUUUGGGACUUUGAAAAUGCAGUCAGUCUCCACAAACUAAAGGCUUGAAAGUUGGUUCUUAAUGACAGAUUUAAUAAGUUAUUUAAAAACCCACUAGUCAUGUUCAAUCAGCAUCCAUCUUUCUCUUUCUUCAGAGGAAUUUACACUUGUUUUUCCUUUGCUUUAUUGAAUGUACACUAAAAUGAUCAUCGCCUCAAAUUUCUUGCAACCUGAAUAAGCUGUAACGAAUUCUGUUCUUCCUCUUCUCUAAGACAGUGCAUAACAUGCUGAAAGUCAGGCACUUUGAAAGCAGAGGAACCUGAGUUAAAAUGUAAGU
This 962-nucleotide long non-coding RNA is filed under the name Homo sapiens (human). RNAcentral describes it as "HSALNT0084088". The record is from RNAcentral. Lineage: Eukaryota; Metazoa; Chordata; Mammalia; Primates; Hominidae.